RNAcentral lists this ribosomal RNA (380 nucleotides) under uncultured eukaryote. RNAcentral describes it as "partial 18S ribosomal RNA". It matches the Rfam family "Eukaryotic small subunit ribosomal RNA", at positions 592 to 976 of the family's 1831-position model. The record is from RNAcentral.
CAAGGGCGUAUAUUAAUGUUGUUGCAGUUAAAAAGCUCGUAGUUGGAUUUCUGGUGGGAGCGAUUGGUCUGCCCCGCGAGGGGUAUGUUACCGGUUCGUAUCCGGCCCUAUUCGGGUUGAUCGUGGCUGGCAUUAAUUUGUCGGUGCGGGAGGUCCGUCAUUUACUGUGAAAAAAUUAGAGUGUUCAAAGCAGGCUUUCGCUUGAAUACAUUAGCAUGGAAUAAUAAGAUAGGACUUUGGUGCUAUUUUGUUGGUUGAGCCUAAAGUAAUGAUUAAUAGGGAUAGUUGGGGGCACCUGUAUUGCGUUGUCAGAGGUGAAAUUCUUGGAUUUACGCAAGACAAACAGCUGCGAAAGCGUCUGCCAAGGAUGUUUNCAUUAA